GAGAGUAUGAGCGUGCAGCGUUUAAAGCGUGGAAGUACUGACCUUACUUUGAGUUUGAUUCCAUAAAAAGUGACAAAAACAUUAGCGUCCAUCGUGCGUGGGAAGAAAACUUCUUUUUACAGCGAAAAAACCCCUAAACUUCCAACAAGCACCGAGUAGCUACGACGUAAUGGGAAACUCACAGAGAAACUUACGGAUCCUUCCACUGACCGCUGCACACCUGCACCAGGGUAAACCUCCGCCUACCCCACUCCUGCUUUACAGUGACACGCAGGAACAUUCAGGUCGAGGCUGAGUACUAAAGGUUCAGUCCUGGUUACUAAUCUGGCCUCCAUGUUUGUGGACAGCAGGUUAACAGCGGUUAAAGGUCAGAGAGGUCGGACUAAAGCACAAAAAUCUAUAAACCUGUGUCAUACAGUGAAAUGAAAACAAAACACAUCGACUGGCGAGGAGUCCGUCUUCGCAUCAUAACGAGUCUCAUAUCGAGGCUGACGGAGAUAAACACGCUUUCAGACGUGAUGGAGACUCAGGCGGUGACGAGGAUGCGGAGAGCUGAAUGAAAUCAGCCCAGAUCGAACUUCCUGCUGCCGAUGGUAUCUGCUGUGUGAGCUGCUGGUUUUAUUACAGGGAACAGCGGGCGCGAGGGAAAGGUCGCCCUGCAGAUAUUGUUUUCUCGUUCCCGGCGGCCUGCGGGUCACAAAUAUCGACUGGGCCGCUUCCUGUUAUACGAAUGAAACCGUAUUCGGGAGAGAGGACGCGAGCAGGCGGGCAGAGGGAGCUGAACACAAAUGAACUUUAAUGUUACAGUUUGGCUACAAGAACACGUAACAUACGCGAACUGUCUGCAGAGUUUAUGUCCUGUUACAGCUGCGGCACAUUCAGCACGAAGCUCUGAGGCAGCUGCUGUUAACAAAGGAGGGAAGAAAGUAAAAGAAAAGAAAGAAAGGAGGAAGUAAAGGAACCUAAGAAAGGAAAUGAAGAAAAGAUGGAAGGAAGGAGGCAAAGAAUGGAGAAAGAACAAAAAAGAAAGAAGAGAAAAGGUAAAAAGAAAAAGCAGCAAACGAAGGAAUAUGAGGAAUGAAAAGGAAAAGGCGGGAUGGAGGAGAGGAAGGAAGGAAGGAAGGAUGAAUUCCUCAACCACUCGUCAAAUAUGUAGGUUUCAUUUCAAAAAUAAA
Long non-coding RNA from Astatotilapia calliptera (eastern happy), 1175 nucleotides. NCBI's taxonomy places the organism in Eukaryota, Metazoa, Chordata, Actinopteri, Cichliformes, Cichlidae. The record is from Ensembl.